AUUGAACGCUGGCGGCAGGCCUAACACAUGCAAGUCGAGCGGAUGAAGGGAGCUUGCUCCUGGAUUCAGCGGCGGACGGGUGAGUAAUGCCUAGGAAUCUGCCUGGUAGUGGGGGAUAACGUCCGGAAACGGGCGCUAAUACCGCAUACGUCCUGAGGGAGAAAGUGGGGGAUCUUCGGACCUCACGCUAUCAGAUGAGCCUAGGUCGGAUUAGCUAGUUGGUGGGGUAAAGGCCUACCAAGGCGACGAUCCGUAACUGGUCUGAGAGGAUGAUCAGUCACACUGGAACUGAGACACGGUCCAGACUCCUACGGGAGGCAGCAGUAGGGAAUAUUGGGCAAUGGGCGAAAGCCUGAUCCAGCCAUGCCGCGUGUGUGAAGAAGGUCUUCGGAUUGUAAAGCACUUUAAGUUGGGAGGAAGAGCAGUAAGUUAAUACCUUGCUGUUUUGACGUUACCAACAGAGUAAGCACCGGCUAACUUCGUG
Molecule: ribosomal RNA, 484 nt
Filed under: uncultured bacterium
Lineage: Bacteria
Description: partial 16S ribosomal RNA
Rfam family: Bacterial small subunit ribosomal RNA
Source: RNAcentral